This 582-nucleotide ribosomal RNA is filed under the name uncultured beta proteobacterium. RNAcentral describes it as "bacterial SSU rRNA". It matches the Rfam family "Bacterial small subunit ribosomal RNA", at positions 145 to 723 of the family's 1533-position model. Lineage: Bacteria; Pseudomonadati; Pseudomonadota; Betaproteobacteria. The record is from RNAcentral.
AACUACUCGAAAGAGUAGCUAAUACCGCAUACGAUCUGAGGAUGAAAGCGGGGGACCUUCGGGCCUCGCGCGAUUGGAGCGGCCGAUGGCAGAUUAGGUAGUUGGUGGGAUAAAAGCUUACCAAGCCGACGAUCUGUAGCUGGUCUGAGAGGACGACCAGCCACACUGGGACUGAGACACGGCCCAGACUCCUACGGGAGGCAGCAGUGGGGAAUUUUGGACAAUGGGCGAAAGCCUGAUCCAGCAAUGCCGCGUGCAGGAUGAAGGCCUUCGGGUUGUAAACUGCUUUUGUACGGAACGAAAAAGCUCCUUCUAAUACAGGGGGCCCAUGACGGUACCGUAAGAAUAAGCACCGGCUAACUACGUGCCAGCAGCCGCGGUAAUACGUAGGGUGCGAGCGUUAAUCGGAAUUACUGGGCGUAAAGCGUGCGCAGGCGGUUAUGUAAGACAGAUGUGAAAUCCCCGGGCUCAACCUGGGAACUGCAUUUGUGACUGCAUGGCUAGAGUACGGUAGAGGGGGAUGGAAUUCCGCGUGUAGCAGUGAAAUGCGUAGAUAUGCGGAGGACACCGAUGGCGAAGGCA